RNAcentral lists this long non-coding RNA (867 nucleotides) under Marmota monax (woodchuck). Lineage: Eukaryota; Metazoa; Chordata; Mammalia; Rodentia; Sciuridae. The record is from RNAcentral.
CAGGGGGAAAAAAAAAAUCUAAAUCUAGUAGCCUUAGUCCAUAGCAUCUAUUGACAAUACUCCUGGUUCCAGAAACUCUCCCUCCUUGGCUUCCAUGAUAGCCCUAUCUUGGCCCUUAUUCAUCCAGCAUUUACUAAUUACCUGUAUGUGCCAGGCCUUGAGCUCGUUAUAUAUUAAUGAAACAAUCAUGAGGCAAAGUAUGGUUUAGUGGAGAAGACAAAAAACAGAUCUGAGAAAAGUACUAUGCUGUGUUACUAACAGGGGGAUGUACUUCAGUAGGACGGUUUGUUCUAUAAAGAUGCAGUACAUUAUUGCAGAACUUAUGUGAAAAUGCUUAAAAAACUGCUGGGCAUCUUCUAGGAAUUGAAAAGGAGUCUGGAGUGACUGGAGUACAAUGAGAAAUGGGAAAGCAGGGAAAAUGAGGGUAGUAAGGUCCAAGUCAUUUAGAACUUUGUAGGUUACAUACAGAACUUUAUAUUUUGAGAGUAAUGGGAAACCAGUAAAGGGUUAAUCACCCAAGUGGUAUAGCUUUUAUCUUUCAAAAUAGGGAGUUCUAUGAGAUUUUAAAAUUUAAAAAUAUUUUCUCUGGGGCUGGGGAUGUGGCUCAAGCGGUAGCGCGCUUGCCUGGCAUGUGUGCGGCCCGGGUUCGAUCCUCAGCACCACAUACAAACAAAGAUGUUGUGCCCGCCGAAAACUAAAAAAUAAAUAUUAAUAAAAAAAAAUAUUUUCUCUGUUCUUUGAUGAUUACUAAACUCCUGUAUCUUUUUUUAAAAAAUAUUUUUUAAUUAUAGGUGGAUGCAGUAUCUUUAUUUUAUUUUUAUGUGGUACUGAGGAUCGAACCCAGUGCUUCAUGAAUGGUAAGGGAGC